RNAcentral lists this ribosomal RNA (215 nucleotides) under uncultured bacterium. RNAcentral describes it as "partial 16S ribosomal RNA". It matches the Rfam family "Bacterial small subunit ribosomal RNA", at positions 328 to 539 of the family's 1533-position model. The record is from RNAcentral.
ACGCUCGACACCUACGGGAGGCAGCAGUGAGGAAUAUUGGUCAAUGGGCGCUAGCCUGAACCAGCCAAGUAGCGUGAAGGAUGAAGGCUCUAUGGGUCGUAAACUUCUUUUAUAUAAGAAUAAAGUGCAGUAUGUAUACUGUUUUGUAUGUAUUAUAUGAAUAGGAUCGGCUAACUCCGUGCCACAGCCGGGUAAUCUGAGCGGGCUGGCAAGGC